RNAcentral lists this ribosomal RNA (1096 nucleotides) under uncultured Alphaproteobacteria bacterium. RNAcentral's name for it is "bacterial SSU rRNA". It matches the Rfam family "Bacterial small subunit ribosomal RNA", at positions 72 to 1205 of the family's 1533-position model. The record is from RNAcentral. Lineage: Bacteria; Pseudomonadati; Pseudomonadota; Alphaproteobacteria.
GCCCUAGCUUGCUAGGUGUCCUUAGUGGCGCACGGGUGAGUAACACGUGGGAACAUACCCUAUAGUACGGAAUAACUGCGGGAAACUGUAGCUAAUACCGUAUACUCCAGUAAUGGGAAAGAUUUAUCGCUAUAGGAUUGGCCCGCGCAAGAUUAGCUUGUUGGUGAGGUAAAAGCUCACCAAGGCUUCGAUCUUUAGCUGGUUUGAGAGGAUGAUCAGCCACACUGGGACUGAGACACGGCCCAGACUCCUACGGGAGGCAGCAGUAGGGAAUAUUGGACAAUGGGGGCAACCCUGAUCCAGCAAUGCAGCGUGAGUGACGAAGGCCUUAGGGUUGUAAAACUCUUUCAUCGGUGAGGAUAAUGACAGUAGCCGAAGAAGAAGGACCGGCUAAUUCCGUGCCAGCAGCCGCGGUAAUACGGAAGGUCCUAGCGUUGUUCGGAAUUACUGGGCGUAAAGCGCAUGUAGGCGGAACAGAAAGUUAGAAGUGAAAUCCCUGGGCUCAACCUAGGAAUUGCUUUUAAAACUUCUGUUCUGGAAUUCAGGAGAGGAAAAUGGAAUUUCCAGUGUAGAGGUGAAAUUCGUAGAUAUUGGAAGGAACACCAGUGGCGAAGGCGAUUUUCUGGACUGAUAUUGACGCUGAGAUGCGAAGGCAUGGGUAGCAAACGGGAUUAGAUACCCCGGUAGUCCAUGCAGUAAACGAUGGGUGCUAGUCGUCGGACUUUUGUUCGGUGUCGUAGCUAACGCGUUAAGCACCCCGCCUGGGGAGUACGGUCGCAAGAUUAAAACUCAAAUAAAUUGACGGGGACCCGCACAAGCAGUGGAGCAUGUGGUUUAAUUCGACGCAACGCGAAGAACCUUACCAGCGUUUGACAUGGAAAGUACCGGUUACAGAAUGGUAACCUUCAGUUCGGCUGGCUUUCGCACAGGUGCUGCAUGGCUGUCGUCAGCUCGUGUCGUGAGAUGUUGGGUUAAGUCCCGCAACGAGCGCAACCCUUAUCGUUAGUUACUAACAGUUCGGCUGAGGACUCUAGCGAAACUGCCGGUGAUAAGCCGGAGGAAGGUGGGGAUGACGUCAAGUCCUCAUGGCCCUUAC